GACGAACGCUGGCGGCGGGCUUAACACAUGCAAGUCGAACGGAAAGGCCCUGCUUUUGUGGGGUGCUCGAUUGGCGAACGGGUGAGUAACACGUGAGUAACCUGCCCUUGACUUUGGGAUAACUUCAGGAAACUGGGGCUAAUACCGGAUAGGAGCUCCUGCUGCAUGGUGGGGGUUGGAAAGUUUCGGCGGUUGGGGAUGGACUCGCGGCUUAUCAGCUUGUUGGUGGGGUAGUGGCUUACCAAGGCUUUGACGGGUAGCCGGCCUGAGAGGGUGGCCGGCCACAUUGGGACUGAGAUACGGCCCAGACUCCUACGGGAGGCAGCAGUGGGGAAUAUUGCACAAUGGGAGGAAGCCUGAUGCAGAAACGCCGCGUGCGGGAUGACGGCCUUCGGGUUGUAAACCGCUUUCGCCUGUGACGAAGCGUGAGUGACGGUAAUGGGUAAAGAAGCACCGGCUAACUACGUG
Molecule: ribosomal RNA, 468 nt
Filed under: uncultured bacterium
Lineage: Bacteria
Description: partial 16S ribosomal RNA
Rfam family: Bacterial small subunit ribosomal RNA
Source: RNAcentral